UUCCGGUUGAUCCUGCCGGACCUGACUGCUAUCGGAACGGGAUUAAGCCAUGCGAGUCUGCCAAUCAGAGCAUGUUGGUUGGCGGCGAACGGCUCAGUAACACGUAGUCAACCUGCCCUCGGGUCGAGAAUAAUCUCGGGAAACUGAGGCUAAUGAGCGAUAGGUCAAGAUUCCUGGAAUGGGUUUUGGUCUAAACGGCGUGACAGCAUCUUGUCAUGUCCGCCCGAGGAUGGGACUGCGGCCGAUCAGGCUGUUGGUGGGGUAAAGGCCCACCAAACCAGUAACCGGUACGGGCUUUGAGAGAAGGAGCCCGGAGAUGGACACUGAGACAAGGGUCCAGGUCCUACGGGGCGCAGCAGGCGCGAAACCUUCGCAAUGCGCGCAAGCGCGACGAGGUUAUUCCGAGUGAUUUCCGCUGAGGAAAUCUUUUCUCAGAUCUAAAAAGUCUGGGGAAUAAGGGGAGGGCAAGUCUGGUGUCAGCCGCCGCGGUAAUACCAGCUCCUCGAGUGGUCAGGGCGUUUAUUGGGCCUAAAGCAUCCGUAGCCUGCUUGGUAGGUCUCCUGUUAAAUCCAACGACUCAAUCGUUGGUCUGCAGGAGAUACCGCUAGGCUAGGAGGCGGGAGAGGCGGACGGUACUCCGAGGGUAGGGGUAAAAUCCUUUGAUCCCCGGAAGACCACCAGUGGCGAAGGCGGUCCGCCAGAACGCGCUCGACGGUGAGGGAUGAAAGCUGGGGGAGCGAACCGGAUUAGAUACCCGGGUAGUCCCAGCUGUAAACGAUGCGAGCUAGGUGACACGACGCCUUCGGGGCAUCGUGGUGCCGCAGGGAAGCCGUUAAGCUCGCCGCCUGGGGAGU
This 854-nucleotide ribosomal RNA is filed under the name uncultured archaeon. RNAcentral's name for it is "bacterial SSU rRNA". It matches the Rfam family "Archaeal small subunit ribosomal RNA", at positions 1 to 836 of the family's 1478-position model. The record is from RNAcentral.